GCCAGAGACACCUUGACCUGCCGGCCUUCUCUGGUACUGGGAUUCCCAGCGGCCCUCCCAGGGUUAUGCUCCCUCGCAUGAUGUAUUUCCCCUGCCUUUUUUAGAGCAGCGUUGUGCUCGCUCCAGGAAACAGCCUCUUCCUUCUCAUAAACACAGCCUUGGGUUCCUGACCAAGCGUCGUGCCACUCCGCGGCUCCUGAUCCAUCCAUCACACCUUGCUGUCACCGUGACUUCGAUUGUAGAGAACUGGUCCAACUCCAGAGGUGAAUUCAGGAUGGGGAGAAGGAAGAGGCAAGCCCUGGGAGCAGCUGAGGGUCACACACACUCCGUGUUCAGUCCCUGGGUAAAUCCUUUGGAAACUAGCUGACCGGUAUGGUGAGCAAGAAUUUCCAAUGACCCAGUGAGUGUGAUGGGAACAUCCUGAUAAACUCUCCACCACCAGAGCUAGGACUGGCCUUUCCGGUGUGCAGGGACCAAGGAGAGAAGAAAAUAGAGACGCCAUGGAGAAACUGAACUCUGAAAGGACUGAGUGUCUCAUGAAGAUCCGCAGAAAAGCUCGGCUUCUUUAUGAGCAAUGGAGAUUAGCCAACUGUGGGGACUCGGAGGAUCUACAUGAACUACACCUAAAUCGGUCUUCUCUAUCAUCUUGCUAAGUGAUUACCUUGAGAACAACGUGACACACAUCUGUAAUCCCAGCACAUGGGAAGCCGAGGCAGGAGGAUAAUUUCAAGGCCAACCUGAACUAUGUAGUGAAGUCCCGCAUCUAAAAACUGAACAAACAAAUGAAAAUAAGUAGAUACGGGGCUGGGGGUGUAUCUCUGUGAUACAAACGUCUGGGGCGGAAGCUCCAUGAUAGAGUACUUGUUGUCCAGCAUGCAGGAAUCCCUUGCUCAAUCCCAAAGUGGGGUGGGGGCAGGAAGAGGCACUGAAUCCCCAGAGACAGGACUGACAGACAGUUUUGAACCUUCAUGUACAUGCUGGGCAUCAAACCAGGGUCCUCUGGAAGAACAGCCAGUACUCUUAACCACCGAGCCCUCCCUCCAAUUUCAGGUACUGUUAUUUUAAAGUUCUCUCUUCCAUAUGUCCGUUUAAAAAGAAAAGGGAGCUAGAGAGUUGCCUCAGUGGUUAAGAGCACUGGCUGUUCUUGCAGAGGACCUGGGUUCGAUUCCCAGCAACCACAUGGCAG
RNAcentral lists this long non-coding RNA (1186 nucleotides) under Cricetulus griseus (Chinese hamster). RNAcentral describes it as "lncRNA (ENSCGRG00015038857.1)". Lineage: Eukaryota; Metazoa; Chordata; Mammalia; Rodentia; Cricetidae. The record is from RNAcentral.